UCGUGAUCGCAGCCAGGUAGCAGCUGUGUGGUGAAUGUGCAGUGCCCUAUGUGUGUAUGUGUGUGCGUAUGCCUAUGUAUAUAUAUACAACGAUCUCAACAGUUGCAAAAGAAACGGAUCCGCAUGCGAUGCAGUGACUGUGUAAACAGCAAUCCGCAUGCAGUGAAGAAUGCAGUACAGUGACUGUGUAAACAGCAAUCCGCAUGCAGUGAAGAAUGCAGUACAGUAGCUGUGCAAACAGUGAUCCGCGUGAAGAGAAGAGUGCAGAGAAGAAUGU
RNAcentral lists this long non-coding RNA (277 nucleotides) under Malus domestica (apple). RNAcentral describes it as "long non-coding RNA (MDOM_LNC001786)". Lineage: Eukaryota; Viridiplantae; Streptophyta; Magnoliopsida; Rosales; Rosaceae. The record is from RNAcentral.